CAACACCUGCCAGGACAACCUCUCCAGAGGCCCAAAUGAGUCAUUUCCUUUCCUCAGUUGCAACUCUCUGCCCCUGCUGGGAGUGCUGUUAACUUCGUCCUGAGGACAGAAACAAGCAAGAGCCCUCAGGAUGCUGCUGCUUCCUCUCCUGACCCUGGCUGCAGCCUGGUCUUAUGGACAAGCACAAGUGCUUCUAAAGCAGAGAGAAGUAUCCAUUACCAGAGGGCCCAAGACACGUGCAUCAAUGGACUGUAUAGCCGAGGGUAUUCCUAACUUCCGGUCUGCAUUUAUACACUGGUACCGGCAUGUACCCUCCAAAGCUCCAGAACGGAUUCUGUAUAUUGGACCCAGUGCAGCUUCUUACGAUGACAAUUCCUUUAGCAACAAGUAUUCUUCUUUGAAGAAAGGUACAAACGUCUGCACUUUCACAAUCAAUGACAUCAACUCCAAUGAUGAAGGUACCUACUACUGUGCCUUCUGGCGUAUCCACAGAGCUAGCAUGUGA
Molecule: non-coding RNA, 505 nt
Organism: Prinia subflava (tawny-flanked prinia)
Lineage: Eukaryota; Metazoa; Chordata; Aves; Passeriformes; Cisticolidae
Source: the annotation of a RefSeq genome assembly